This 500-nucleotide ribosomal RNA is filed under the name uncultured bacterium. RNAcentral describes it as "bacterial SSU rRNA". It matches the Rfam family "Bacterial small subunit ribosomal RNA", at positions 37 to 531 of the family's 1533-position model. The record is from RNAcentral.
UAGCGACAGGCUUAACACAUGCAAGUCGAGGGGCAUCAUGAGGUAGCAAUACCUUGAUGGCGACCGGCGCACGGGUGAGUAACGCGUAUGCAACCUGCCUGAUACCGGGGUAUAGCCCAUGGAAACGUGGGUUAACACCCCAUAGUACUUUUAUCCUGCAUGGGAUGUGAGUUAAAUGUUCAAGGUAUCGGAUGGGCAUGCGUCCUAUUAGUUAGUUGGCGGGGUAACAGCCCACCAAGACGAUGAUAGGUAGGGGUUCUGAGAGGAAGGUCCCCCACAUUGGAACUGAGACACGGUCCAAACUCCUACGGGAGGCAGCAGUGAGGAAUAUUGGUCAAUGGACGAGAGUCUGAACCAGCCAAGUCGCGUGAGGGAAGACUGCCCUAUGGGUUGUAAACCUCUUUUAUAAGGGAAGAAUAAGUUCUACGUGUAGAAUGAUGCCUGUACCUUAUGAAUAAGCAUCGGCUAACUCCGUGCCAGCAGCCGCGGUAAUACGGAGG